ACAAACUUGGUCAUUUAGAGGAAGUAAAAGUCGUAACAAGGUCUCCGUUGGUGAACCAGCGGAGGGAUCAUUAUAGAGGAUUAAAAACCCCCUAAAACCCACUGUGAACAUACCUAUCGUUGCUUCGGCGGGAUCGCCCCGGCGCCUCUGUGCCCGGAGUCAGGCGCCCGCCGGAGGCCCAAAAAACCAUUUUGUAUUUCGUGGCAUUCUCUGAGUGGUACAAAACAUAUAAAUCAAAACUUUCAACAACGGAUCUCUUGGCUCUGGCAUCGAUGAAGAACGCAGC
RNAcentral lists this unclassified non-coding RNA (286 nucleotides) under uncultured fungus. Its description in RNAcentral is "partial contains small subunit ribosomal RNA, internal transcribed spacer 1, and 5.8S ribosomal RNA". The stretch from base 1 to 73 matches the Rfam family "Eukaryotic small subunit ribosomal RNA", at positions 1759 to 1831 of the family's 1831-position model. Lineage: Eukaryota; Fungi. The record is from RNAcentral.